AGGAGGCUGGUUGCUGGUGGUUCCCGUCGGCUGGCGCUGCAGCCUGGCUUAGAAGUCUGGCCUGUCUUUCUUCAGCUUCUUGUAGUCAGUGGAAACUGCAAGGAACUGUGGAGAGAAAGGGGGUCGCACUGAGCCCCGGGCUUCCCUCUGCUGGGGUGGGAGGUGCCCAGCUGGGAUCAAGAGGCCGCGGUCGGAGGUGCAACCCGAAGGCCGCUGGGAGCCCAGGAGACCACUUCUGCCUCUGACUGUGAUGGAGAGAAAGAGAAUGGAGUGCAGGAAACCGGAAGAAAGAGAGAAAAGAUGUUGGAAGAGGAAAGAGAACACAGACAGAAGCUGGACUGACUGCGUCCCGCUGCAUGAUCAACUCGGCGCGUGCUGUGCCAUCAGAGGCCUUGCCGAGCGGACGCGUCUAUCUCCCCGCCUCGCGCCAGCCUCAGCCCAGUUUUUACCCUCAUCUUCCCCGAGACCUGGAGCGGCUUGGUAAGAAGGUCUGAGACACCACUUCUCCAGCUUCUCCUUACUCUUGAACACAAAAAGGUCCUCCUUUGACUCCCCACUGACCCUAAGCUGGCCUUUCUCACCAUCCUGGACUGGGAACGCAGAGCCGGAGGCUUAAGCUCUUCCCGUGGGGACUCAGCAGCCCAUCACUCACCAACGUC
This is a long non-coding RNA of Dama dama (fallow deer), 659 nucleotides long. RefSeq lists it as uncharacterized. The transcript has 4 exons. Lineage: Eukaryota; Metazoa; Chordata; Mammalia; Artiodactyla; Cervidae. The record is from RefSeq and is a predicted model, not a curated record.